This 445-nucleotide ribosomal RNA is filed under the name uncultured bacterium. RNAcentral's name for it is "bacterial SSU rRNA". It matches the Rfam family "Bacterial small subunit ribosomal RNA", at positions 29 to 519 of the family's 1533-position model. The record is from RNAcentral.
AACGAACGCUGGCGGCAGGCCUAACACAUGCAAGUCGAACGCCGUAGCAAUACGGAGUGGCAGACGGGUGAGUAACACGUGGGAACAUACCCUUCGGUUCGGAAUAACUCAGGGAAACUUGAGCUAAUACCGGAUACGUCCGCGAGGAGAAAGAUUCAUCGCCGGAGGAUUGGCCCGCGUCUGAUUAGCUUGUUGGUGAGGUAACGGCUCACCAAGGCGACGAUCAGUAGCNGGUCUGAGAGGAUGAUCAGCCACAUUGGGACUGAGACACGGCCCAAACUCCUACGGGAGGCAGCAGUGGGGAAUAUUGGACAAUGGGCGCAAGCCUGAUCCAGCCGUGCCGCGUGAGUGAUGAAGGCCCUAGGGUUGUAAAGCUCUUUUACCCGGGAAGAUAAUGACUGUACCGGGAGAAUAAGCCCCGGCUAACUUCGUGCCAGCAGCCGCU